Molecule: ribosomal RNA, 628 nt
Filed under: uncultured bacterium
Lineage: Bacteria
Description: bacterial SSU rRNA
Rfam family: Bacterial small subunit ribosomal RNA
Source: RNAcentral
GUUUGAUCAUGGCUCAGGAUGAACGCUGGCGGCGUGCUUAACACAUGCAAGUCGAACGGGAAUUACUUUAUUGAAACUUCGGUCGAUUUAAUUUAAUUCUAGUGGCGGACGGGUGAGUAACGCGUGGGUAACCUGCCUUAUACAGGGGGAUAACAGUCAGAAAUGGCUGCUAAUACCGCAUAAGCGCACAGAGCUGCAUGGCUCAGUGUGAAAAACUCCGGUGGUAUAAGAUGGACUCGCGUUGGAUUAGCUUGUUGGCGGGGUAACGGCCCACCAAGGCGACGAUCCAUAGCCGGCCUGAGAGGGUGAACGGCCACAUUGGGACUGAGACACGGCCCAGACUCCUACGGGAGGCAGCAGUGGGGAAUAUUGCACAAUGGGGGAAACCCUGAUGCAGCGACGCCGCGUGAAGGAAGAAGUAUCUCGGUAUGUAAACUUCUAUCAGCAGGGAAGAUAGUGACGGUACCUGACUAAGAAGCCCCGGCUAACUACGUGCCAGCAGCCGCGGUAAUACGUAGGGGGCAAGCGUUAUCCGGAUUUACUGGGUGUAAAGGGAGCGUAGACGGUGUGGCAAGUCUGAUGUGAAAGGCAUGGGCUCAACCUGUGGACUGCAUUGGAAACUGUCAUA